This 377-nucleotide ribosomal RNA is filed under the name uncultured eukaryote. RNAcentral's name for it is "partial 18S ribosomal RNA". It matches the Rfam family "Eukaryotic small subunit ribosomal RNA", at positions 592 to 976 of the family's 1831-position model. The record is from RNAcentral.
CAAUAGCGUAUAUUUAAGUUGCUGCAGUUAAAAAGCUCGUAGUUGGAUUUCGGGAGGGAAUGGCCGGUCCGCCGUUUCGGUGUGCACUUGCUACGCCCACCUUGCUGCCGGGGACGUGCUCUUGAGUUCACGCUCGGGACACGGAGUCGGCGAGGUUACUUUGAGUAAAUUAGAGUGUUCAAAGCAGGCCUACGCUCUGAAUACAUUAGCAUGGAAUAACACGAUAGGACUCUGGCCUAUCUUGUUGGUCUGUAGGACCGGAGUAAUGAUUAAGAGGGACAGUCGGGGGCAUUCGUAUUUCAUUGUCAGAGGUGAAAUUCUUGGAUUUAUGAAAGACGAACUACUGCGAAAGCAUUUGCCAAGGAUGUUUUCAUUAA